ACCUAUAAAACUUAAGCUAAUAAAGAAAAGGUCAACCAUAUAUAUCAGGCAUUCAAAGUUGGACUUUUUAUAUCACAUCCCUAGUCGGACAGACACAUAACUAGGAAUGCGACAAUCCACUGCAUACUCAUAGGAUAGGGUUCCAUGAGCAUACAAGAUGAUAACCUAUCAAUAACAUACUAAAUUAAGAAAAUAAUAUUCACAACUUAAGAUCUACUAAUUCAAAUUCUAAAAUAAAUCAUUCAUAGCUACCAUACAAAGAUAACUUCAGUCACAUAAUUUACAUAUUUAUACAUAAAAUAGUAUAGAG
RNAcentral lists this long non-coding RNA (310 nucleotides) under Elaeis guineensis (African oil palm). RNAcentral's name for it is "long non-coding RNA (EGUI_LNC050310)". Lineage: Eukaryota; Viridiplantae; Streptophyta; Magnoliopsida; Arecales; Arecaceae. The record is from RNAcentral.